GACGGAGGGGGCAAGCGUUGUCCGGAAUCACUGGGCGUAAAGAGCGUGUAGGCGGUCGCGUGCGUCGGUGCUGAAAGCGCCCGGCUUAACCGGGCGAGGCGUGCCGAUACGAUGCGACUGGAGGCAGGCAGAGGGCGGCGGAAUUCCGGGUGUAGCGGUGAAAUGCGCAGAGCUCCGGAGGAACGCCGGUGGGGGAGCCGGGCGCCUGGGCCUGACCUGACGCUGAGACGCAACAGCGUGGGGAGCAAACCGG
This 253-nucleotide ribosomal RNA is filed under the name uncultured bacterium. RNAcentral's name for it is "partial 16S ribosomal RNA". It matches the Rfam family "Bacterial small subunit ribosomal RNA", at positions 524 to 776 of the family's 1533-position model. The record is from RNAcentral.